AUUGAACGCUGGCGGCAUGCUUUACACAUGCAAGUCGAACGGCAGCACAGAGAAGCUUGCUUCUUGGGUGGCGAGUGGCGAACGGGUGAGUAAUAUAUCGGAACGUACCGAGUAAUGGGGGAUAACUAAUCGAAAGAUUAGCUAAUACCGCAUAUUCUCUGAGGAGGAAAGCAGGGGACCUUCGGGCCUUGCGUUAUUCGAGCGGCCGAUAUCUGAUUAGCUAGUUGGUGGGGUAAAGGCCUACCAAGGCGACGAUCAGUAGCGGGUCUCAGAGGAUGAUCCGCCACACUGGGACUGAGACACGGCCCAGACUCCUACGGGAGGCAGCAGUGGGGAAUUUUGGACAAUGGGCGCAAGCCUGAUCCAGCCAUGCCGCGUGUCUGAAGAAGGCCUUACGGGUUGUAAAGGACUUUUGUCAGGGAAGAAAGGCUGUUGCUAAUAUCGGACAGCUGCCUAACAGGUUCACUGUGAAUAGACCCGGCUA
This 484-nucleotide ribosomal RNA is filed under the name Neisseria flavescens. Its description in RNAcentral is "bacterial SSU rRNA". It matches the Rfam family "Bacterial small subunit ribosomal RNA", at positions 30 to 499 of the family's 1533-position model. The record is from RNAcentral. Lineage: Bacteria; Pseudomonadati; Pseudomonadota; Betaproteobacteria; Neisseriales; Neisseriaceae.